Molecule: ribosomal RNA, 253 nt
Filed under: uncultured Methylosarcina sp.
Lineage: Bacteria; Pseudomonadati; Pseudomonadota; Gammaproteobacteria; Methylococcales; Methylococcaceae
Description: partial 16S ribosomal RNA
Rfam family: Bacterial small subunit ribosomal RNA
Source: RNAcentral
UACGGAGGGUGCGAGCGUUAAUCGGAAUUACUGGGCGUAAAGCGUGCGUAGGCGGCGUGUUAAGUCAGAUGUGAAAGCCCUGGGCUUAACCUGGGAACUGCAUUUGAUACUGGCAGGCUAGAGUUUACUAGAGGGGAGUGGAAUUUCCGGUGUAGCGGUGAAAUGCGUAGAGAUCGGAAGGAACACCAGUGGCGAAGGCGACUCCCUGGAGUAAAACUGACGCUGAGGUACGAAAGCGUGGGUAGCAAACAGG